GAGUUGAUCCUUGGCUCAGAUUGAAACGCUGGCGGCAGGCUUAACACAUGCAAGUCGAGCGGAAACGAUGGUAGCUUGCUACCAGGCGUCGAGCGGCGGACGGGUGAGUAAUACUUAGGAAUCUACCUAGUAGUGGGGGAUAGCACGGGGAAACUCGUAUUAAUACCGCAUACGACCUACGGGAGAAAGGGGGCAGUUUACUGCUCUCGCUAUUAGAUGAGCCUAAGUCGGAUUAGCUAGAUGGUGGGGUAAAGGCCUACCAUGGCGACGAUCUGUAGCUGGUCUGAGAGGAUGAUCAGCCACACCGGGACCGAGACACUUAAG
Molecule: ribosomal RNA, 324 nt
Filed under: Psychrobacter glacincola
Lineage: Bacteria; Pseudomonadati; Pseudomonadota; Gammaproteobacteria; Moraxellales; Moraxellaceae
Description: bacterial SSU rRNA
Rfam family: Bacterial small subunit ribosomal RNA
Source: RNAcentral